GACGAACGCUGGCGGCGUGCUUAACACAUGCAAGUCGAACGGUGAAGCGCUUUCCUUUUUGGUUGGUGUGGAUGAGUGGCGAACGGGUGAGUAACACGUGAGUAACCUGCCCCCUUCUUCUGGAUAACCGCAUGAAAGUGUGGCUAAUACGGGAUAUUCUGCGCCUGCUGCAUGGUGGGUGUGGGAAAGAUUGUGCCUUUGGGUGUUUUCGGUGGGGGAUGGGCUCGCGGCCUAUCAGCUUGUUGGUGGGGUGAUGGCCUACCAAGGCGGUGACGGGUAGCCGGCCUGAGAGGGUGGACGGUCACACUGGGACUGAGACACGGCCCAGACUCCUACGGGAGGCAGCAGUGGGGAAUAUGGCACAAGGGGCGCAAGCCUGAUGCAGCGACGCCGCGUGAGGGAGGGAGGCCUUCGGGUUGUGAACCUCUUUCGCCAGUGAAGCAGGCCUGCUCCUUGUGGGUGGGUUGACGGUAGCUGGAUAAGAAGCGCCGGCUAACUACGUG
Molecule: ribosomal RNA, 503 nt
Filed under: uncultured bacterium
Lineage: Bacteria
Description: partial 16S ribosomal RNA
Rfam family: Bacterial small subunit ribosomal RNA
Source: RNAcentral